Molecule: ribosomal RNA, 469 nt
Filed under: uncultured bacterium
Lineage: Bacteria
Description: partial 16S ribosomal RNA
Rfam family: Bacterial small subunit ribosomal RNA
Source: RNAcentral
GACGAACGCUGGCGGCGUGCUUAACACAUGCAAGUCGAACGGAAAGGCCCUGCUUGCAGGGUGCUCGAGUGGCGAACGGGUGAGUAACACGUGGGUGAUCUGCCCCUUACUUUGGGAUAAGCCUGGGAAACUGGGUCUAAUACUGGAUAGGACCAUGCUGUAGGUGGUGUGGUGGAAAGAUUAGUUUCGGUAAGGGAUGAGCUCGCGGCCUAUCAGCUUGUUGGUGGGGUAAUGGCCUACCAAGGCGUCGACGGGUAGCCGGCCUGAGAGGGUGGACGGCCACAUUGGGACUGAGAUACGGCCCAGACUCCUACGGGAGGCAGCAGUGGGGAAUAUUGCAAAAUGGGCGCAAGCCUGAUGCAGCGACGCCGCGUGGGGGAUGACGGCCUUCGGGUUGUAAACGCCUUUCAGCCAUGACGAAGCCCUUGUGGUGACGGUAGUGGUAGAAGAAGCACCGGCUAACUACGUG